CCCCCGUCCCAUUUUAAGUGUGUUCAAUGUUUGUUCGUCCGUCUUAUUUAAAAUAAUUUUCUGAUUAGUAUUUUUAUCGUUGUUAGAUGAUAAAAAUAAAUAGUACUUUAUGUGUGACUUAUUUUUUUAUAUUUUUUUUAAAUAAUACAAAUGGUCAAACGUUGGACACAGAAAAAACACAUGGG
Molecule: microRNA precursor, 185 nt
Filed under: Oryza nivara
Lineage: Eukaryota; Viridiplantae; Streptophyta; Magnoliopsida; Poales; Poaceae
Description: MIR812 microRNA precursor family
Rfam family: MIR812 microRNA precursor family
Source: Rfam by way of RNAcentral